RNAcentral lists this ribosomal RNA (138 nucleotides) under Neogale vison (American mink). The record is from RNAcentral. Lineage: Eukaryota; Metazoa; Chordata; Mammalia; Carnivora; Mustelidae.
GUCUACGGCCAUACCACCCUGAACGCGCCCUAUUUCGUCUGAUCUCGGAAGCUAAGCAGGGUCGGGCCUGGUUAGUACUUGGAUGGGAGAUCGAAAGUCUAAUGCUCUACCCACUGAGCCAGCCAGGCGCCCUUUAAU